UAACUGUGCAAAGGUAGCAUAAUCAAUAGUUUUUUAAUUGAAGGCUUGUAUGAAGGGUUGGACAAAGAAUAAUCUGUUUUUAUUUUUUUUUUUGAAUUUAACUUUUAAGUGAAAAGGCUUAAGUAAAUUUAAGGGACGAUAAGACCCUAUAAAUCUUUAUAUUAAUUUGUUUUUUAGCAGUUAGUUAAAGUAAAUAGCGAAAAAAGAUAAAGAAUAUUUUGUUGGGGUGACAAAAAUAUAAAUGUUAACUGUUUUAAAAUUUAAACAAAGUUGUUUGGAAGUAUAAUAAAUCCUUUAUAGAUUAAAAAUUUAAGUUACUUUAGGGAUAACAGCGUUAUUUUUUUUGAGAGUUCAUAUCGAAAAAAAAGUUUGCGACCUCGAUGUUGAAUUAAAAGUUCUUUGUGGGGCAGUUGCCACAAGAGAAAGUCUGUUCAACUUUUAAAUUUUUACG
This 451-nucleotide ribosomal RNA is filed under the name Sadayoshia acamar. RNAcentral describes it as "partial 16S ribosomal RNA". It matches the Rfam family "Bacterial large subunit ribosomal RNA", at positions 1943 to 2600 of the family's 2925-position model. Lineage: Eukaryota; Metazoa; Arthropoda; Malacostraca; Decapoda; Munididae. The record is from RNAcentral.